CACAGUAUGGCUCAGUGGUUUCAGCAUUGGACUGUGGAUCUAGAGACAAGGGUUCAAAUCCCCACCCAGCCA
This is a non-coding RNA of Phrynosoma platyrhinos (Desert horned lizard), 72 nucleotides long. The record is from the annotation of a GenBank genome assembly. NCBI's taxonomy places the organism in Eukaryota, Metazoa, Chordata, Lepidosauria, Squamata, Phrynosomatidae.